UGCUCUCGAUCAAUGCUCCUGGUUUCCCC
RNAcentral lists this non-coding RNA (29 nucleotides) under Macaca fascicularis (crab-eating macaque). Lineage: Eukaryota; Metazoa; Chordata; Mammalia; Primates; Cercopithecidae. RNAcentral also lists the same sequence under 1 other name. The record is from RNAcentral.